UUUCUCUCGUGCAUGUCCUCUUCUCUCUCUUUUCACCCAAAAUACUGUUUUGUCUUCCUAUGUACACACAAUCACCGAAUGUUAGAACAAAGACCAUUGUUUUUUCCUUUUCCUUUUCCUUCUCUACACUUCUGCCUCCAUAUCCCAAAGACCCAUUGCCUGCAAACAGCCAACUCGAUUUCUGCUGGUGAGUUCCUUUUCCUUCUCUGUUUUAUAGGCUAUGGUGGACGAGAUUUGCUCUUCUUCCUCUGUCCUGAAAGAACCCCUAAAUCCCCCAAUUUUGGUUGAAACCCAUCUCAAUCAAACACCUUUCUCCGUUUCUUCUAGGCCAAUCGUUUGUAGUAGUGCCCAAACCCCAUGGGUUUUUCCUUUCCUUUUCAACUCUAGGCCUUUGUUGUGUCUGAUUUCCACUUCUUAAUCUGCCCCCAAAGAACCUGAAAAUCAACCAAUGGGUUAUCCAUCUUAACAAUAUAAUAGGAUUGAGUUUGCUUAGCUUAGCUUUUUGAGAGUAUAAGCUGAGGAGGAACAAUAGCCAGAAGAUAAUGACUGAAAGUGAAUGCAUUUUGACUUCUACGUGGGUCGUUCAAUUGGAAUGGAAUGUGGAUUGUUUGUGUCCAUACUCUUACAAGUGGUGCUUUUUGAAACAGCAAAAACAUUUGGCUUUGUUGUUGCUAUGAUAUCUUAUUACUUUCUUAA
Molecule: long non-coding RNA, 696 nt
Organism: Quercus robur (English oak)
Lineage: Eukaryota; Viridiplantae; Streptophyta; Magnoliopsida; Fagales; Fagaceae
Exons: 3
Source: RefSeq, a predicted model, not a curated record